GAUGAACGCUGGCGGCGUGCCUAAUACAUGCAAGUCGAGCGAACGGACGAGAAGCUUGCUUCUCUGAUGUUAGCGGCGGACGGGUGAGUAACACGUGGAUAACCUACCUAUAAGACUGGGAUAACUUCGGGAAACCGGAGCUAAUACCGGAUAAUAUUUUGAACCGCAUGGUUCAAAAGUGAAAGACGGUCUUGCUGUCACUUAUAGAUGGAUCCGCGCUGCAUUAGCUAGUUGGUAAGGUAACGGCUUACCAAGGCAACGAUGCAUAGCCGACCUGAGAGGGUGAUCGGCCACACGGGAACUGAGACACGGUCCAGACUCCUACGGGAGGCAGCAGUAGGGAAUCUUCCACAAUGGGCGAAAGCCUGACGGAGCAACGCCGCGUGAGUGAUGAAGGUCUUCGGAUCGUAAAACUCUGUUAUUAGGGAAGAACAUAUGUGUAAGUAACUGUGCACAUCUUGACGGUACCUAAUCAGAAAGCCACGGCUAACUACGUG
This 497-nucleotide ribosomal RNA is filed under the name uncultured bacterium. RNAcentral's name for it is "partial 16S ribosomal RNA". It matches the Rfam family "Bacterial small subunit ribosomal RNA", at positions 28 to 507 of the family's 1533-position model. The record is from RNAcentral.